ACGUUUCCCCAACAGGACCACCAGGAAUAUAGACGAACUCGAUCAAGCGAAUGGUGCAGACAUACUGGCAGCAAAUGGCAAUGGAUCGUUCAGAAUGGAAUACAAAAGGGGAGGCCUACAUCCAGCAGUCGAUAUCAACGGGCUGAUGAAGAAGACAAGAAGAAGAUGCUUUGAUUACCCAAAAAUUAAA
Bradysia coprophila is the source of this 190-nucleotide long non-coding RNA. Lineage: Eukaryota; Metazoa; Arthropoda; Insecta; Diptera; Sciaridae. The record is from RefSeq and is a predicted model, not a curated record.